GCCUAGAUUAGCAUACGGGGCGGGGCUCGCUGCGCCCCGCCUUCUCUGCGGCUGCACCGCCCCGCGGGGGUUCGGUUCCGAGCGUCGCCUUCCUCUACGGUCUCCGUGUGGAGCCCGGCCGCGGGGUUCUAACGGUCCAGCCCGCAGGGACUCAGGACUGCGGUCUACCCCCGACCUCCUCACACCUUCCGGGGUGACCUGAGGGCGGAGCCUGAGUCCUGUGUCCCCGGUUGCACCGCCCCCAACCACCCCCGUCCCCUGUCGACCCCGUCUCCAGUCUCUUCCAAACCGGCCGGCCCCCGGCCUAGCAAUUCGAGAUUUCUCCCGUGGCUUCCGAGGAAAAGGAGGCCCCUACCCUGUAUCUGUGCCCUCCUUUGCAUCAGGGACCUAAACUGCUGUUUUGGAGAGGUUGUCUCUACCCCUCAGCUUGGUUGGUUUGAAACCCUGCACGACCUGUGAAGUCUUCCCCGGAUGGCUACAUCGUCUGGGGUCCCUUGUCCUGCCUGUACCCACAGCAAGCCCACGAAUCCAGGGCUUCCCUUGUUUCUGGAACAGCAGCCCUGAGGUUCUGUGGCUUCCCAGCUCUCAGCUGUCCCCCACCCCAGCGCCACCGCCCCUCAAAUGGGCCUUCACUUCUGCGCUGGGUCUCCUCACAGCCUCUCACCUGGCUGCCUGCCCAGUCUUCCCCACCCUAUCUCAGGAGAUCUUCCUAACUGGAGCCGCAAGAGAUGCCACUUCGAUCCCUCAGUCAGAAAGGUCCCCUGGAGGAGGGCACGGCAACCAACCUACACCAGUAUUCUUG
This is a long non-coding RNA of Bos taurus (domestic cattle), 802 nucleotides long. The record is from Ensembl. NCBI's taxonomy places the organism in Eukaryota, Metazoa, Chordata, Mammalia, Artiodactyla, Bovidae.